Molecule: ribosomal RNA, 498 nt
Filed under: uncultured bacterium
Lineage: Bacteria
Description: bacterial SSU rRNA
Rfam family: Bacterial small subunit ribosomal RNA
Source: RNAcentral
AAUAAACGCUGGCGGCGUGCCUAACACAUGCAAGUCGAGCGAGAAAGUUCCUUCGGGAGCAAGUAAAGCGGCGGACGGGUGAGUAACGCGUGAGAAUUUACCCUUUAGUGAGGAAUACCUCUGAGAAAUCAGGGCUAAUACUGCAUAAGUCCCUACGGGGAGAAAGGUGGCCUAUUUGCUGCCGCUAAAGGAUAAGCUUGCGGGCUAUUAGCUAGUUGGUGAGGUAAAGGCUCACCAAGGCGAUGAUGGCUAGCCGGCCUGAGAGGGUGUACGGCCACACUGGAACUUAGACACGGUCCAGACUCCUACGGGAGGCAGCAGUGAGGAAUAUUGCGCAAUGGGCGAAAGCCUGACGCAGCGACGCCGCGUGGAGGAUGAAGGUCUUCGGAUUGUAAACUUCUGUUAAGUGGGAAGGAAGAUUUAUCCCUAAUAUGGAUAAAGGAUGACGGUACCAUUAGAGAAAGCACCGGCUAACUUCGUGCCAGCAGCCGCGGUAAU